Schistocerca piceifrons (Central American locust) is the source of this 88-nucleotide small nuclear RNA. NCBI's taxonomy places the organism in Eukaryota, Metazoa, Arthropoda, Insecta, Orthoptera, Acrididae. The record is from RefSeq and is a predicted model, not a curated record.
GUGUUGUACGAAUGGAGAGACGGUUAGCACUCCCCUAGACAAGGAUGGAACACGCAUAAGGUUGAGGCACCGCUGACCCAUUUUCUUA